GAUGAACGCUGGCGGCGUGCUUAACACAUGCAAGUCGAACGAAACACCUUAUUUGAUUUUCUUCGGAACUGAAGAUUUGGUGAUUGAGUGGCGGACGGGUGAGUAACGCGUGGGUAACCUGCCCUGUACAGGGGGAUAACAGUCAGAAAUGACUGCUAAUACCGCAUAAGACCACAGCACCGCAUGGUGCAGGGGUAAAAACUCCGGUGGUACAGGAUGGACCCGCGUCUGAUUAGCUGGUUGGUGAGGUAACGGCUCACCAAGGCGACGAUCAGUAGCCGGCUUGAGAGAGUGAACGGCCACAUUGGGACUGAGACACGGCCCAAACUCCUACGGGAGGCAGCAGUGGGGAAUAUUGCACAAUGGGGGGAACCCUGAUGCAGCGACGCCGCGUGAGUGAAGAAGUAUCUCGGUAUGUAAAGCUCUAUCAGCAGGGAAGAAAAUGACGGUACCUGACUAAGAAGCCCCGGCUAGCUACGUGCCAGCAGCCGCGGUAAUACGUAGGGGGCAAGCGUUAUCCGGAAUUACUGGGUGUAAAGGGUGCGUAGGUGGUAUGGCAAGUCAGAAGUGAAAACCCAGGGCUUAACUCUGGGACUGCUUUUGAAACUGUCAGACUGGAGUGCAGGAGAGGUAAGCGGAAUUCCUAGUGUAGCGGUGAAAUGCGUAGAUAUUAGGAGGAACAUCAGUGGCGAAGGCGGCUUACUGGACUGAA
Molecule: ribosomal RNA, 712 nt
Filed under: uncultured Lachnospiraceae bacterium
Lineage: Bacteria; Bacillati; Bacillota; Clostridia; Lachnospirales; Lachnospiraceae
Description: bacterial SSU rRNA
Rfam family: Bacterial small subunit ribosomal RNA
Source: RNAcentral